Molecule: non-coding RNA, 22 nt
Filed under: Arabidopsis thaliana (thale cress)
Lineage: Eukaryota; Viridiplantae; Streptophyta; Magnoliopsida; Brassicales; Brassicaceae
Source: RNAcentral
UGGUGAAUAUAGAGAUGUUCUA